This 351-nucleotide unclassified non-coding RNA is filed under the name Hevea brasiliensis (rubber tree). Lineage: Eukaryota; Viridiplantae; Streptophyta; Magnoliopsida; Malpighiales; Euphorbiaceae. The record is from RNAcentral.
GCUGAGGUAGUGGCUGAGAGGAUCUGAUUUCGCCUACAUUCAAGGCUAAAUUUGCAGCCUGACUAGCAACUAUGUUAUUAUUGUUUUCCACUAUUCUGGUUCCCACAAGUCCAUUGUUUCGAUUUGGCUGCUGAAACCCAAGAGUUAAACCAGUACUGUUGUUACUGUUAUUAUUGCCGUUAUCAUUUAGACGGGAUAAUUCAUCAAAGAAUCCGCUAUUAUUUGGCCUUCCAAUUAGCUGAGUAUCCUCUCUCACAACCCCUGCCCUGGCCAAGAAUUCCUCCAAAGUCAUCUCUCCCAAAGUCUGUUGGCUCUGAGGCAUAUUUGAUCCCAUGUUGCUCCCAUCUUUAG